AUGCCCAACCUAUACGGCUGCAUACCCAAGCAACGACGAACGACGAGAACUAUGGCGGAUGGGCUCAAUGGCAACUCCUGGGCACGUGACAUCCAAGGAAACCUAGGCCUCCAUGAGAUUGGUCAGUAUCUGCAACUCUGGCAGAUCAUGCAGCGCACCGAGCUUUCCACCACACCGGACAAGUUGAUUUGGCGCUGGACAGUGAGCGGCAACUACUCUGCGAAGUCCUGCUACACGGCGACCUUCCUUCGAGCAACGGCCUGCCACUCAUGGAAGUUGGUCUGGAAAUGCUGGGCGCCACCGCGAGUCAAGUUCUUCCACUAG
RNAcentral lists this ribosomal RNA (324 nucleotides) under Triticum aestivum (bread wheat). RNAcentral describes it as "partial small subunit ribosomal RNA". The record is from RNAcentral. Lineage: Eukaryota; Viridiplantae; Streptophyta; Magnoliopsida; Poales; Poaceae.